CCCUUACCUGCCGGGUGACCCCGGGGGGAGCCGUGGCAGGGCUGCGGGGCUGUUGCUCUCUGGGUGUCUCAGGGUUUGCCUCGGAAUCCCAAAGCCUCUCCCCGAGCAGGGUUACGAGGCGAAGACUGGUCUCAGUUUCUUAGUGCUGCAUUAAUGCUUUUUGCUCGUUCUGUGUCAGUUUGCAGCCUGGCUCGUGGUUUCCACUGGUGCUGGGGAGUGGAGGCGAGUUGUGCUUCCUGCUGGGAGAGAGAAGGGCCUUGGGAAGCUGCUCCAUGAGCCACAGCUGUGCCGAGCCUGGGAGUCUGUCCAGAAGGUGAAUGCAAGAACCUGCCAAGAAAACCAAUGGCCAAGGUGAUUGAUUAGUGCAGGACCUGAGAGAACCCCCUGAAAUGACAACCUGGAGUAGUUUCCAGGAUUAGAUUGACGAGAUGCCCUUUGCUGCAUCUGAUUGAGCAAGGAAAGCCAAGAAACCUUUGCUUUUGCAGGAGAAAAUCUGGACAGCGGGAAGGAAGCAAAGAAGCCACUUGACUCCUGCCUGAGCCCCAGACAACCCAUGAACUGCCUUCCUGGGAAUGGUGGGACGGGCUGGACUCUGGAUUGCUCCCUCUGGGUGUGUGGCUCUCCCCUCAGGAACUCCAGGAACUCCUGGUGCCGCCUGGGCC
Molecule: long non-coding RNA, 662 nt
Organism: Lepidothrix coronata (blue-crowned manakin)
Lineage: Eukaryota; Metazoa; Chordata; Aves; Passeriformes; Pipridae
Exons: 3
Source: RefSeq, a predicted model, not a curated record